Molecule: ribosomal RNA, 497 nt
Filed under: uncultured bacterium
Lineage: Bacteria
Description: partial 16S ribosomal RNA
Rfam family: Bacterial small subunit ribosomal RNA
Source: RNAcentral
GAUGAACGCUGGCGGCGUGCCUAAUACAUGCAAGUCGAGCGAACAGACGAGGAGCUUGCUCCUCUGACGUUAGCGGCGGACGGGUGAGUAACACGUGGAUAACCUACCUAUAAGACUGGGAUAACUUCGGGAAACCGGAGCUAAUACCGGAUAAUAUAUUGAACCGCAUGGUUCAAUAGUGAAAGACGGUUUUGCUGUCUCUUAUAGAUGGAUCCGCGCCGCAUUAGCUAGUUGGUAAGGUAACGGCUUACCAAGGCAACGAUGCGUAGCCGACCUGAGAGGGUGAUCGGCCACACUGGAACUGAGACACGGUCCAGACUCCUACGGGAGGCUGCAGUAGGGAAUCUUCCGCAAUGGGCGAAAGCUUGACGGAGCAACGCCGCGUGAGUGAUGAAGGUCUUCGGAUCGUAAAACUCUGUUAUUAGGGAAGAACAAAUGUGUAAGUAACUAUGCACGUCUUGACGGUACCUAAUCAGAAAGCCACGGCUAACUACGUG